This 207-nucleotide ribosomal RNA is filed under the name uncultured bacterium. Its description in RNAcentral is "partial 16S ribosomal RNA". It matches the Rfam family "Bacterial small subunit ribosomal RNA", at positions 568 to 774 of the family's 1533-position model. The record is from RNAcentral.
CGCGUAGGCGGCCUGGCAAGUCGGGUGUGAAAUCCCUCGGCUCAACCGAGGAACUGCACUCGAUACUGCUGGGCUAGAGUCCGGGAGGGGAUGGUGGAAUUCCCAGUGUAGCGGUGAAAUGCGUAGAUAUUGGGAAGAACACCGGUGGCGAAGGCGGCCAUCUGGACCGGAACUGACGCUGAGGCGCGAAAGCCAGGGGAGCGAAUG